This 60-nucleotide transfer RNA is filed under the name Enchelynassa canina. RNAcentral describes it as "tRNA-Ser". Lineage: Eukaryota; Metazoa; Chordata; Actinopteri; Anguilliformes; Muraenidae. The record is from RNAcentral.
AAGUGAUCUUGGACAAGUGCUAAUUUUUCCAAGCCAUGGUUGGACUCCAUGGGUCCCUUA